RNAcentral lists this ribosomal RNA (460 nucleotides) under uncultured bacterium. Its description in RNAcentral is "bacterial SSU rRNA". It matches the Rfam family "Bacterial small subunit ribosomal RNA", at positions 15 to 518 of the family's 1533-position model. The record is from RNAcentral.
GAUCAUGGCUCAAGAACGAACGCUGGCGGCAGGCCUAACACAUGCAAGUCGAGCGCGCCCUUCGGGGUGAGCGGCGGACGGGUUAGUAACGCGUGGGAACGUACCCUUUGGUAGGGAGUAGCCACUGGAAACGGUGAGUAAUACCCUAUGAGCCCUUCGGGGGAAAGAUUUAUCGCCAAAGGAUCGGCCCGCGUUAGAUUAGGUAGUUGGUGGGGUAAUGGCCUACCAAGCCUACCGAUCUAUAGCUGGUUUUAGAGGAUGAUCAGCAACACUGGGACUGAGACACGGCCCAGACUCCUACGGGAGGCAGCAGUGGGGAAUCUUGGACAAUGGGGGCAACCCUGAUCCCAGCCAUGCCGCGUGAGUGAAGAAGGCCUUAGGGUCGUAAAGCUCUUUCGCCUGUGAAGAUAAUGACGGUAGCAGGUAAAGAAACCCCGGCUAACUCCGUGCCAGCAGCAGC